Non-coding RNA from Mauremys reevesii (Reeves's turtle), 692 nucleotides. The record is from the annotation of a RefSeq genome assembly. NCBI's taxonomy places the organism in Eukaryota, Metazoa, Chordata, Testudines, Geoemydidae.
AACAGGGAGAAGGAACAUCUGUUUGUCCGGAGAUGGCCCAGGGCUUCGACUAGUGGGGCCCAAAAGACGACUCCCAGGCCCAAUCACAACAGCUGCAGCCGGAGACACAAUCCGCAGCCCCCCGGGUCUGUGCAGUGACCAGCCAGUCCGUGAGAACUUUCCCCUCCAGCGCCCGGGACAAUGAGGCUCUGGCUCCAUGUACUGUUCCUUGCAGUGGCUUUGGAAGGUGUCCGGUCCCAGGUGCAGCUGGUGGAGUCCGGAGGGGAUGUGAAAAAGCCUGGAGACUCUCUCCGCCUCUCCUGCAAAGCCUCCGGGUUCACCAUCAGCAGCUACGGGAUGAACUGGGUCCGGCAGGCUCCCGGGAAGGGGCUGGAGUGGGUUUCAAGCACUUAUUGGGAAGUAUGGAACCGCUAUUACUACGCAGACUCAGUGAAAGGCCGAUUCACCAUCUCCAGGGACGAUUCCAACAACCUGGUGCAUUUGGACAUGACCGGCCUGAAGCCCGAGGACACCGCCCGCUAUUACUGUGCGAGAGAGACACACAGUGCGGGGAAGCCGGGCUGAGCUCAGACAAAAACUUGCCCUCGCUGGCUAAGCACAAACUCUCCGCUGGGGGGCGCUGCAGUUCUACAGCUCGCAGCGCAGAGACCGUGAGCGAGAAAACUCCGGCCCGCAGCUGCCUGCCUGUGACU